GGCUGUCGUCAGCUCGUGUCGUGAGAUGUUGGGUUAAGUCCCGCAACGAGCGCAACCCUCGCCCUUAGUUACCAUCAUUAAGUUGGGUACUCUAGGGGACUGCCGGUGACAAUCCGGAGGAAGGUGGGGAUGACGUCAAGUCAUCAUGGCUUACGGGCUGGGCUACACACGUGCUACAAUGGCGGUGACAGUGGGCAGCGAUGGGGCGACCCUGAGCUAAUCUCCAAAAACCGUCUCAGUUCGGAUUGUUCUCUGCAACUCGAGAGCAUGAAGUCGGAAUCGCUAGUAAUCGCGUAUCAGCAUGACGCGGUGAAUACGUUCCCGGGCCUU
This 330-nucleotide ribosomal RNA is filed under the name unidentified marine eubacterium. RNAcentral describes it as "bacterial SSU rRNA". It matches the Rfam family "Bacterial small subunit ribosomal RNA", at positions 1047 to 1382 of the family's 1533-position model. The record is from RNAcentral.